GUCCUUGUACCGCAAUGGAUAGCGCGUUGGACUCCUAAUCCAAAGGUCGUGGGUUCAAUCCCGCCUGGGAUG
Non-coding RNA from Trichonephila clavipes, 72 nucleotides. NCBI's taxonomy places the organism in Eukaryota, Metazoa, Arthropoda, Arachnida, Araneae, Nephilidae. The record is from the annotation of a GenBank genome assembly.